This 164-nucleotide ribosomal RNA is filed under the name uncultured bacterium. RNAcentral describes it as "partial 16S rRNA". It matches the Rfam family "Bacterial small subunit ribosomal RNA", at positions 355 to 511 of the family's 1533-position model. The record is from RNAcentral.
UAGGGAAUCUUCCACAAUGGGCGAAAGCCUGAUGGAGCAACGCCGCGUGUGUGAUGAAGGGUUUCGGCUCGUAAAACACUGUUGUAAGAGAAGAAUGACAUUGAGAGUAACUGUUCAAUGUGUGACGGUAUCUUACCAGAAAGGAACGGCUAAAUACGUGUCAC